AAAGGGAGCGUAGGCGGACUGUUAAGUUAGAGGUGAAAGCCCAGGGCUCAACCUUGGAAUUGCCUUUGAUACUGGCAGUCUUGAGUACGGAAGAGGUAUGUGGAACUCCGAGUGUAGAGGUGAAAUUCGUAGAUAUUCGGAAGAACACCAGUGGCGAAGGCGACAUACUGGUCCGUUACUGACGCUGAGGCUCGAAAGCGUGGGGAGCAAACAGGAUUAGAUACCCGGGU
RNAcentral lists this ribosomal RNA (230 nucleotides) under uncultured bacterium. RNAcentral describes it as "partial 16S ribosomal RNA". It matches the Rfam family "Bacterial small subunit ribosomal RNA", at positions 562 to 791 of the family's 1533-position model. The record is from RNAcentral.